RNAcentral lists this transfer RNA (86 nucleotides) under Albidovulum denitrificans. RNAcentral's name for it is "Defluviimonas denitrificans tRNA-Leu". It matches the Rfam family "tRNA". From Rfam's summary of the family: Transfer RNA (tRNA) molecules are approximately 80 nucleotides in length. Their secondary structure includes four short double-helical elements and three loops (D, anti-codon, and T loops). Lineage: Bacteria; Pseudomonadati; Pseudomonadota; Alphaproteobacteria; Rhodobacterales; Paracoccaceae. The record is from RNAcentral.
GCGGGCGUGGUGGAACGGUAGACACAUGGCACUUAAAAUGCCUGGGCCGAAAGGCCGUGCGGGUUCGACUCCCGCCGCCCGCACCA